Molecule: ribosomal RNA, 274 nt
Filed under: uncultured bacterium
Lineage: Bacteria
Description: partial 16S ribosomal RNA
Rfam family: Bacterial small subunit ribosomal RNA
Source: RNAcentral
AUACGGAGGGUGCAAGCGUUAAUCGGAAUUACUGGGCGUAAAGCGUACGUAGGCGGUUCGUUAAGUUAGAUGUGAAAGCCCCGGGCUUAACCUGGGAACUGCAUUUAAAACUGGCGAACUAGAGUUGAGUAGAGGGGAGUGGAAUUUCAGGUGUAGCGGUGAAAUGCGUAGAGAUCUGAAGGAACACCAGUGGCGAAGGCGACUCCCUGGACUCGAACUGACGCUGAGGUACGAAAGCGGGGGUAGCAAACGGGAUUAGAAACCCCAGUAGUCC